GCGGGGCCUCCGUAUCCCCACGUGGGCCCUGCAGGAACUGGCGGGGCGCGUGACCCCGCGAGGCCCAGAGACAGGGGAGGGGCGCCGGGAGCGGGGCGGAUCCGCGUCCCCGAUGCGCGCUGCAUUUCCGGCGGGCGGCGCUGGGGGCAGCGUGGAGCCGCCCAGUGCUCGGCCCGCCCCGCAACCCGCCGGAACCGCCGCCCGCAGCGAGGAAGCGCCCGCGCGGGCGCAGGCGGCCGGGAUGGCGGGGCCCGGCUGGGGUCCCCCGCGCCUGGACGGCUUCAUCCUCACCGAGCGCCUGGGCAGCGGCACGUACGCCACGGUGUACAAGGCCUACGCCAAGAAGGACACUCGUGAAGUCGUAGCCAUAAAGUGUGUAGCCAAGAAAAGUCUGAACAAGGCAUCGGUGGAGAACCUCCUCACGGAGAUUGAGAUCCUCAAGGGCAUUCGACAUCCCCACAUUGUGCAGCUGAAAGACUUUCAGUGGGACAGUGACAAUAUCUACCUCAUCAUGGAGUUUUGCGCAGGGGGCGACCUGUCUCGCUUCAUCCAUACCCGCAGGAUUCUGCCUGAGAAGGUGGCACGUGUCUUCAUGCAGCAAUUAGCUAGCGCCCUGCAAUUCCUGCAUGAACGGAAUAUCUCUCACCUGGAUCUGAAGCCACAGAACAUUCUACUGAGCUCCUUGGAGAAGCCCCACCUAAAACUGGCAGACUUUGGUUUCGCACAACACAUGUCCCCGUGGGAUGAGAAGCACGUGCUCCGUGGCUCCCCCCUCUACAUGGCCCCCGAGAUGGUGUGCCAGCGGCAGUAUGACGCCCGCGUGGACCUCUGGUCCGUGGGGGUCAUCCUGUAUGGUGAGACCUCUUUUCCCUGCUUCUCACCCUGAGGCCUACACUGUUUCCUCAGGCAAGGCCUCUCUGGGCCACUUCUGAAGGGUUCUGAUGAAAACUGACUGCUGGCCCAGGGCCCCUGCUGAGGGGCGUCAGGCCAGGCUUGACCCAUUCCCUCCCAGCCUCCACUCUGCCUCCCUUCCACAGAAGCCCUCUUCGGGCAGCCCCCCUUUGCCUCCAGGUCGUUCUCGGAGCUGGAAGAGAAGAUCCGUAGCAACCGGGUCAUCGAGCUCCCCUUACGGCCCCUGCUCUCCGGAGACUGCCGGGACCUACUGCAGCGGCUCCUGGAGCGGGACCCCAGCCGUCGCAUCUCCUUCCAGGACUUCUUUGCGCACCCCUGGGUGGACCUGGAGCACAUGCCCAGUGGGGAGAGUCUGGGGCGAGCAACCGCCCUGGUGGUGCAGGCUGUGAAGAAAGACCAGGAGGGGGAUGCAGCAGCCGCCUUAUCACUCUACUGCAAGGCUCUGGACUUCUUUGUACCUGCCCUGCACUAUGAAGUGGAUGCCCAGCGGAAGGAGGCAAUUAAGGCAAAGGUGGGGCAGUACGUGUCCCGGGCCGAGGAGCUCAAGGCCAUCGUCUCCUCUUCCAAUCAGGCCCUGCUGAGGCAGGGGACCUCUGCCCGAGACCUGCUCAGAGAGAUGGCCCGGGACAAGCCACGCCUCCUAGCUGCCCUGGAAGUGGCUUCAGCUGCCAUGGCCAAGGAGGAGGCCGCUGGCGAGGAGCAGGAUGCCCUGGACCUGUACCAGCACAGCCUGGGGGAGCUGCUGCUGUUGCUGGCAGGUGAGGGCCCCCAUUUAUGCCCCCCACAGGGCCCCUGGCCACCCUGCCCUCACCACACGCCCUCUCUUUACAGCGGAGCCCCCGGGCCGGAGGCGGGAGCUGCUUCACACUGAGGUUCAGAACCUCAUGGCCCGAGCUGAAUACCUGAAGGAGCAGGUCAAGAUGAGGGAAUCUCGCUGGGAAGCUGACACCCUGGACAAAGAGGGACUGUCGGAAUCUGUUCGUAGCUCUUGCACCCUUCAGUGACCCUAGAAGAAUGAUUGGACAGAUGUGAGCCAUCUGGAGCAGAGGGGCACUAACCCAGGCUGACGCCAAGAAUGAAGUGGCCCACUGCAGCCCUGGCGAGCAGGCUUCUUGGAUGGACAGUGCUGAGACCCCCAUAUCCCAGAGUCCCCAGCCUCCCUCAGGUUACUCUGCACCCCACAGGUGGUUUGAUGGCUGUGCUGUAUACUGGAGGGGAGGGCAGGACUCUGGGAGAACAGCACUUCUUUCAUGAGACCUUUGUUACUUGGUGGUUACUGGGUCCUGUGCCUGUCCGUUUUGGGGCAUGCAGCCGUCUAUCGUUUUUGGCUCCGAGAAGGGGGCAAGGGGCCCCUGCAGGGUACUUCUGUGCUUGCCCUCGCCCUGCCAGCAGGCAGCUGUGCCCUUGGCCUGCCCUUCCUGGGAUCCCUUAUUCCAACUCAGCUCCUCUUUGCACUGGAAUGGGGCACUCCAACACCCCUCAGGGACCACCCUCCCCACAGUAUGCACUCAGCCCCACAGAACCCACCAGUCUUUCUGGGAACUCACACCUGCCCGCCAUCUUGGUACUUUAAGUUAAUCCUUCAAGCAUGAAAGUUGGAUCUCUUGGGGUUUAAGAAGCCCAAGCCUUGUUCCUGCCCUGGCCUAGGGUGCACUCAGGAGGGUUCCUUGGUCCUCAUCUCUCCCACCUCCGUUCCCUUUGGGCCCCACACUGGCCACAGCGCAGGCCUUGUGCUGGAGUUUGAGCCUGGGACAGGGAGAGGGAGGCCUGGAGACGGUCUGACCCAGUGCCCUCUAGGCUACCCACUUCUAGGCCUGCUCUGCCGCUGUGGAGCCCUGGGCAAGCUCUUUCCCCUUUCUGGGCCUGGGUCUCCCCAUCUCUUCAAUGGGGCUGAUACCUUCACAGCCCACAGCAUGGGCACUUAUGAGGACAAAGUGAAUUUAACCUGGAAAGAAUGUAUUUGAGAGUUUCUUUUAAGUAAUCAGCGGGUGUUGGUGAUUUGUAGCCCUUCUGCCCUUAAAUGCUUCCUUGGGCAAGAGCUGUCUGUCCUCCCUGCAGGAGGCUGAGUGUGAAGAGUAUCAUUCAUUGUUUCUCUAUUAAAUUAUUUUCUCUA
Molecule: small RNA, 3025 nt
Filed under: Pan troglodytes (chimpanzee)
Lineage: Eukaryota; Metazoa; Chordata; Mammalia; Primates; Hominidae
Description: retained intron
Source: RNAcentral